This 1103-nucleotide long non-coding RNA is filed under the name Ananas comosus (pineapple). Its description in RNAcentral is "long non-coding RNA (ACOM_LNC038689)". Lineage: Eukaryota; Viridiplantae; Streptophyta; Magnoliopsida; Poales; Bromeliaceae. The record is from RNAcentral.
CUAGGUUUAAUGCCACUCGAUCUAAUGUAUAUAGAUUGUCCAUAUGCACAUUUCCAUUUCUUAACAUUAGUAUCUCUACAACAUGAUCAUCAAGUAUAUCUUAGCAUUAGCCACAUGCUUGCAUUUAUUAUUUCUACAUCAUGCUUAUCAUACCAUUACUUAGCAUUAUCCCCAUGCAUGCUUAUCAUGUAAACUUUAACAUUACUCAAUGCAUUCAUCUAGCACUAUUUACACUAAGUCAUCAUGCAUUCCUCUUAUCAUGUUCUUAUAAUGUUAACAUUCAUAUGCCCUUUAUCUUAUGCAUUCAAAGCAUUAAUCACAUGCAUUUAUCUAGCAUUUCUAUAAUAUGUUAACAUGCAUUCUUUUCACAUUCUUACAUUAUGUCAAAUGCAUUCCUCUAGCAUUUCACAUUAUAUGUCAACAUGCAUCAAUAUGAAAUCUCAUUUCUUAGACAUAAAGGGCGACCUAGUCGCUUCGGUAAGCACAACCCACCUCAUUUCGCAUUCCGAUUGCUUGUCGACACUUACAAUCGACCGCCCGCGGCACCCGUAUCCGGCACGGCCCGAUACUGCAACUGCGCCUCAACCGUGCUCCGCUUCGCAGCCCCGAAAAUUAUAGGUCUUCGGUUAUGUGCCACGAUGCCUCAAAUCCAUUUCCACGAUUUUACGACGUCGCCUCGGCCCUCCCGGCGGACCCGAAGCCUAAACGUCCAUUUCUUUAAUAACUUUGUAACGGCUCGUCGGAUUGCCGAACCGUCUUCGCCAACGCGUUUCGUUACCUAGCAAUUAGGUUUACGAAGGAUCAAAUGAGAUCAAACCCUCAUAUUUUGAAAGUUUGCAUUUUUGUGCCCUAAUAUGAAUUAACCUCUAAAUAAUCCAAAUCAAAUGGAGUAAACAUGUUUAGAAUGCUCAUUAGAGGCUAUUAGAACACUUAAAACUAAGGAUUAAGCCAAAUCCUAAAAGCUUACCUCAAUGUGAACGCCGCGACGACAACACACCGCUCCAACGGCCGCACGAAAGCCCGAUCCGUCGCCUCCAACGCGUUCGCAAGCAUCUUCUCCACCAACCCUCCAAUUUUUAGAGAGAGAUUUAGAGAGAUGAGAG